CGCUACUACCGAUUGAAUGGUUAGUGAGGCCUCCGGAUUGGCUUCUGGGAGCCAGCAAUGGCACCUAGUCGCUGAGAAGUUGGACGAACUUGGUCAUUUAGAGGAAGUAAAAGUCGUAACAAGGUU
RNAcentral lists this ribosomal RNA (126 nucleotides) under Ice core clone 101-15. Its description in RNAcentral is "partial 18S ribosomal RNA". It matches the Rfam family "Eukaryotic small subunit ribosomal RNA", at positions 1677 to 1801 of the family's 1831-position model. The record is from RNAcentral.